Long non-coding RNA from Leptopilina heterotoma, 889 nucleotides. RefSeq lists it as uncharacterized. The transcript has 2 exons. The record is from RefSeq and is a predicted model, not a curated record. NCBI's taxonomy places the organism in Eukaryota, Metazoa, Arthropoda, Insecta, Hymenoptera, Figitidae.
UUUAACGUAUAAAUGAAAAAAAGCAAGAGAGGUAAAAAAAUAAUUACGAAUUAAAAAUUGAAAUACAAAAAUGCUAUAACUAAAGGAAGUAAAUAAUUGUUAAAGUAAGAAAAAUAUUUUAUGCUGCUUUGACUUUGACAAAGGUCACAACGUUUAUCAUCAUUUUUUAUGUAUUCCACAUGCGAAAUGAUAAAUUUUUAAAACUUUGACAUUGAAGAAGAUCAUAAAUGUUUAUGACAAUUUUUUUUAUUCUACAAAAUAAUUUUUUUUCAAAUAAAAUGUAAAUAAAAAGCUGCAAAAAUAUCGUGGAUCGAAACUUUAGAAAAAAAAAAUGUAAUGUCCUCGUGAAUGUGGACAAUUUUUAGAUGUUAUUUAUUGUACUUUUUUGCACUCGUUUUGUUAUAAAAACCGUGAACUGCGACAAAAUUAUAUGCAAUAUAAGAAAGUGUCAAAGAGUAAAGAAACGUUUGCAUUAGUACAACAUUUUAAAAAAUUAAACUUUAAUAACUGCAAUUUACACGUGUAAUAUAACAACAAAUAGAGUUAAAAUACCAACAAUGCUGAAAAUUUACUUCCUGUUAUUUAUUGCAACAUUUUUGUUAUUUGCUAAUGAGUGUCAUGCUGAAUGUUGUCCUUCAUAUGAACCUGCUACUUGUCAUUCUCCAGUUUGUCCUAAAAUUUGUGCAGAUGGAAAUGAAUUACAUGGAAUUGAAUUUUAUUGUGGUGUAGGACAAUGUAAUAUGUUUGGAUGUAACUGUGACGGUGGCUGUAAAAGAAGUAGAUGGGGAUAAAAUGUUUUUGCUGAUUAAGAUUAAUCGAAUGUAUAAUAUCGUUAUUGUCAAUUUAUAAAUUUUUAUCUCCAAAUAAUACAGAAUUGCUUUAAAAACAA